This is a long non-coding RNA of Mirounga angustirostris (Northern elephant seal), 719 nucleotides long. RefSeq lists it as uncharacterized. NCBI's taxonomy places the organism in Eukaryota, Metazoa, Chordata, Mammalia, Carnivora, Phocidae. The transcript has 3 exons. The record is from RefSeq and is a predicted model, not a curated record.
GGUUUCACAAUGGAAAUUUGGCCAAGAAGGCUUGUGUGGAGUCACUGAAACAGGCACUAGAUUAUAAUAAAAUGGACACAGUGUAUGUUGACUCCUUUUUCAAUAACUACAAAAGGAAGGAGGUAGAAUAACCUAAAAAUAAAGUACUUUAUUGAAGAUGGGAAAAAAAUGACUGCAGCUAUAGAAAAAAUAUUAUGUGGAAAGGAAGGAUGAUUUUAACGGAAUUAUCAAGAUUGUCUGGCUGCUUCUGCAGUAAGACUGCAGAGUAGUUGCCCCAGAGAGCUAAGGCCCUCACUUCACAGUUUGCCAAGCCCUGCUCUAGAUCUUGGAUACCAUGAAGAACUCCUGGAAUCCUUGUGAUUUCCUGGGUGAUGGGAGUGUCAUUUGUUCUUCUGCGUGGGCUUCUGGAUGAGGGCUGGCCACUGGAGAGACCAAGCCAUGAUGAGAAGCUUGGAAUUUUCAGCUCUGCCACCCAUUUUCUUGAGAAGAGUUAAUGAUCCAUCCAUCAUGCUUACACGAUGCAGCCUCUAUAAAAUUCCAAAAGUACAGGGCUUGGAGAGCUUCUGGAUUGGUGAGCACGUGGAGGUGUUGAGAGACUGGUGUGUCUGGAGAAGGCAUGGAAAUUCUUCAUCCGUUCCCAUAUACCUUGCCCUACCUUCCAUCUAGAUGUUCAUCUGUAUCCUUUUUCAGAUCCUUUAGUAAACAGUUAAACAGUUAAA